This is a long non-coding RNA of Prunus mume (Japanese apricot), 319 nucleotides long. RefSeq lists it as uncharacterized. Lineage: Eukaryota; Viridiplantae; Streptophyta; Magnoliopsida; Rosales; Rosaceae. The record is from RefSeq and is a predicted model, not a curated record.
UCUCUCUCCCUUAUAAUAAACUGCUAUCAGAAUACUUCUGCGAGCAUAAUCAUAGGGUGAAUGGUUGUUAUUUAACCUGCGGUUGCAGACUUAGGGUGAAUGGUUGGUUGAAGACUGCAGACGUGAGUUCAAAACUCAAAAGAGGAGAGAUGCAUCUAACAUGAAGCAACCAAAACAAGAAGAUGAAACCACUCUGCAUGAAUAGGAAACCAAAACAACUCUGGAUGAGAAUUUGCUGAUGUGGGAGUUGACAUGUAGUGCGCUGGGCAAAGAAAGAAGCCAAGGUGAGAAAAGCUGCUAGGAAGAUGAAAAUGGCUGC